RNAcentral lists this ribosomal RNA (253 nucleotides) under uncultured bacterium. RNAcentral's name for it is "partial 16S ribosomal RNA". It matches the Rfam family "Bacterial small subunit ribosomal RNA", at positions 524 to 776 of the family's 1533-position model. The record is from RNAcentral.
UACGGAGGGUGCAAGCGUUAUUCGGAAUUACUGGGCUUAAAGGGUGCGUAGGCGGUGUAGCAAGUCGGGAGUGAAAUACCCCAGCUUAACUGAGGAAUUGCUUUCGAUACUGCUGCGCUUGAGUGAGACAGAGGUAAGCGGAACUUAGGGUGGAGCGGUGAAAUGCGUUGAUAUCCUAAGGAACACCGGUGGCGAAGGCGGCUUACUGGGUCUCAACUGACGCUGAGGCACGAAAGCUAGGGUAGCAAACGGG